RNAcentral lists this ribosomal RNA (253 nucleotides) under uncultured bacterium. Its description in RNAcentral is "partial 16S ribosomal RNA". It matches the Rfam family "Bacterial small subunit ribosomal RNA", at positions 524 to 776 of the family's 1533-position model. The record is from RNAcentral.
GACGGAGGGUGCUAGCGUUGUUCGGAAUCACUGGGCGUAAAGGGCGCGUAGGCGGCCUUGGCAGUCAGAUGUGAAAGCCCGGGGCUCAACCCCGGAAUUGCAUUUGAUACUCCAAGGCUGGAGGUCGGAAGAGGAGGGUGGAAUUCCCAGUGUAGAGGUGAAAUUCGUAGAUAUUGGGUGGAACACCGGUGGCGAAAGCGGCUCGCUGGUCCGAACCUGACGCUGAGGCGCGAAAGCUUGGGUAGCAAACAGG